This 73-nucleotide transfer RNA is filed under the name Ipomoea nil (Japanese morning glory). It matches the Rfam family "tRNA". From Rfam's summary of the family: Transfer RNA (tRNA) molecules are approximately 80 nucleotides in length. Their secondary structure includes four short double-helical elements and three loops (D, anti-codon, and T loops). The record is from Rfam by way of RNAcentral. Lineage: Eukaryota; Viridiplantae; Streptophyta; Magnoliopsida; Solanales; Convolvulaceae.
GUGCCCAUAGCCUAAUGGAUAAGGUGUUUGACUUUUAAUCAAAUAAUGGUGGGUUCGAGUCCCAUUGUGUGUG